AAAAUACGGGAUCCCGUCCGCUCUCCCAUAGUCAAGCCACUAACCGGCGGAUUAGUAGUUGGGUCGGUGACGACCAGCGAAUCCCCGCUGUUGUAUGUU
This 99-nucleotide ribosomal RNA is filed under the name Fusarium pseudograminearum CS3096. Lineage: Eukaryota; Fungi; Ascomycota; Sordariomycetes; Hypocreales; Nectriaceae. The record is from RNAcentral.